AAUCAACGCUGGCGGCGUGCCUAACACAUGCAAGUCGAACGCGAAAGCCCUUUCGGGGGUAAGUAGAGUGGCGUCCGGGUGAGUAACACGUGGGUAAUCUGCCUUCGGGUGGGGAAUAACCCAGGGAAACUUGGGCUAAUACCGCAUAAUGCAGCGGCACCUAAUGGUGAUUAGUUGUUAAAGCGGGGGAUCGCAAGACCUCGCGCCUGAAGAGGAGCCUGCGGCAGAUUAGCAGUUGGUGAGGUAAUGGCUCACCAAGGCUGCGAUCUGUAGCUGGUCUGAGAGGACGGCCAGCCACACUGGCACUGACACACGGGCCAGACUCCUACGGGAGCAGCAGUGGGGAAUUUUGGGCAAUGGGCGAAAGCCUGACCCAGCAACGCCGCGUGAGGGAGGAAAUCCUUCGGAUGUAAACCUCACAAGCAAGGGAAGAGAGCUGCGGGCUGAA
Molecule: ribosomal RNA, 448 nt
Filed under: uncultured bacterium
Lineage: Bacteria
Description: bacterial SSU rRNA
Rfam family: Bacterial small subunit ribosomal RNA
Source: RNAcentral